This is a non-coding RNA of Podarcis lilfordi (Lilford's wall lizard), 596 nucleotides long. NCBI's taxonomy places the organism in Eukaryota, Metazoa, Chordata, Lepidosauria, Squamata, Lacertidae. The record is from the annotation of a GenBank genome assembly.
GGUAGAUGUAAAGGAGAAACUGGUCUCAUUGAACUCAGUGGGACAUUUCUGAGCACAUGUUCUUAGGUCUCAGUAGGUCUCAGUUCUCAAAUGUUUCCAAUAUAGGUGUUGCUCUCUGAAACAUUCUGAGAUCUUUGUUGACCUGCAAUGAAAUGUUAGUUUCAGUACUAUUAGCUUGAUGGCUGAGGCAAUGUUGUUUUUCUUAUUUUAGGGAACAUAUUCAUUGUUUGUGGAGUCUAAAGUCACACCAGACUUUCUGAAACAUGCCUUAUUUUCAAAGGAGUGAACUCAUCAACAAGUAAUUGAAAGGACUUUAGCUGAUUCAGUAUGCUGUUGAGAUUCUACUUCAUGCUGCUUUACAAGAGCACUCAUUUUUCACCUGCUGUGGAUAAUCAUGAAUGAGUUUAACCUGAAAAAGAAAGAUCAACAUCAAUUUGGCCAUCAGUCAACUGAAAAUGGUAGUGUACUCAACGUUUGUGAGCUGAUUCCACUCUCAAAUGCAGCUAUGAAUAUGUUAGACUUCCGUUUCUGAGCCCUAGUUUGACGAGAUCUUCUGAAACAUCAGUUUUGUAAGCAUGUAUUUGUGUAAAUUCAGG